Molecule: ribosomal RNA, 490 nt
Filed under: uncultured bacterium
Lineage: Bacteria
Description: partial 16S ribosomal RNA
Rfam family: Bacterial small subunit ribosomal RNA
Source: RNAcentral
AUUGAACGCUGGCGGAAUGCUUUACACAUGCAAGUCGAACGGGAGUAGCAAUACUCUAGUGGCGAACGGGUGAGUAAUACAUCGGAACGUACCCUGACCUGGGGGAUAACACAUCGAAAGGUGUGCUAAUACCGCAUACGUCCUGAGGGAGAAAGCGGGGGAUCGCAAGACCUCGCGCGUUUGGAGCGGCCGGUGGCGGAUUAACUAGUUGGGGGGGUAAAGGCCUACCAAGGCGACUACCCGUAGUUGGUCUGAGAGGACGACCAGCCACACUGGGACUGAGACACGGCCCAGACUCCUACGGGAGGCAGCGGUGGGGAAUUUUGGACAAUGGGGGAAACCCUGAUCCAGCGAUUCCGAGUGGGUGAAGAAGGCCUUCGGGUUGUAAAGCUCUUUCGGCAGGAACGAAACGGUGAGGGCUAAUAUCCCUUAUCAAUGACGGUACCUGAAGAAGAAGCACCGGCUAACUACGUGCCAGCAGCCGCCGUAA